AAGUGAAGCAGAGGACAGUGGCGGACGGGUGAGUAACGCGUGAGGAACCUGCCUUUCAGAGGGGGACAACAGUUGGAAACGACUGCUAAUACCGCAUGACACAUAGAUGUCGCAUGGCAUUUAUGUCAAAGAUUUAUCGCUGAAAGAUGGCCUCGCGUCUGAUUAGCUAGUUGGUGAGGUAACGGCCCACCAAGGCGACGAUCAGUAGCCGGACUGAGAGGUUGAACGGCCACAUUGGAACUGAGACACGGUCCAAACUCC
RNAcentral lists this ribosomal RNA (261 nucleotides) under uncultured Oscillibacter sp. RNAcentral describes it as "partial 16S ribosomal RNA". It matches the Rfam family "Bacterial small subunit ribosomal RNA", at positions 78 to 339 of the family's 1533-position model. The record is from RNAcentral. Lineage: Bacteria; Bacillati; Bacillota; Clostridia; Eubacteriales; Oscillospiraceae.